RNAcentral lists this ribosomal RNA (235 nucleotides) under uncultured Glomus. RNAcentral describes it as "partial 18S ribosomal RNA". It matches the Rfam family "Eukaryotic small subunit ribosomal RNA", at positions 569 to 809 of the family's 1831-position model. The record is from RNAcentral. Lineage: Eukaryota; Fungi; Glomeromycota; Glomeromycetes; Glomerales; Glomeraceae.
AGCAGCCGCGGUAAUUCCAGCUCCAAUAGCGUAUAUUAAAGUUGUUGCAGUUAAAAAGCUCGUAGUUGAAUUUCGGGAUCAGUUCGCUGGUCGUGCCUCUGGUAUGUACUGGUGUUACUGGUUCCUCCCUUCUGACGAACUGUCAUGUCAUUUAUUUGGUGUGGCGGGGAAUCAGGACUGUUACUUUGAAAAAAUUAGAGUGUUUAAAGCAGGCUCGCGCUUGAAUACAUUAGCA